GGCCCGAUGCCAUACUGUGGUGAUAGCAGGUAGGGUUGGUGGGGGUAAGAGGGUGAUAGCAGGUAGGGUUGGUGGGGGUAAGAGGGUGAUAGCAGGUAGGGUUGGGUGGGGGUAAGAGGGUGAUAGCAGGUAGGGUUGGGUGGGGGUAAGAGGGUGAUAGCAGGUAGGGAUGGUGGGGGUAAGAGGGUGAUAGCAGGUAGGGUUGGGGUAAGAGGGUGAUAGCAGGUAGGGUUGGGGGGAGUAAGGUGGUGAUAGCAGGUAAGGUGGUGAUAGCAGGUAGGGUUAGGGGGAGUAAGGUGGUGAUAGCAGGUAUGGUUGGGAAGGGUAAGGAAGUGAUAGCAG
Long non-coding RNA from Oncorhynchus keta (chum salmon), 342 nucleotides. RefSeq lists it as uncharacterized. The transcript is spliced from 4 exons. NCBI's taxonomy places the organism in Eukaryota, Metazoa, Chordata, Actinopteri, Salmoniformes, Salmonidae. The record is from RefSeq and is a predicted model, not a curated record.